This 468-nucleotide ribosomal RNA is filed under the name uncultured bacterium. RNAcentral's name for it is "partial 16S ribosomal RNA". It matches the Rfam family "Bacterial small subunit ribosomal RNA", at positions 28 to 507 of the family's 1533-position model. The record is from RNAcentral.
GACGAACGCUGGCGGCGUGCUUAACACAUGCAAGUCGAACGGAAAGGCCCUGCUUUUGUGGGGUGCUCGAGUGGCGAACGGGUGAGUAACAAGUGAGUAACCUGCCCUUGACUUUGGGAUAACUUCAGGAAACUGGGGCUAAUAACGGAUAGGAGCUCCUGCUGCAGGGAGGGGGUUGGAAAGUUUCGGCGGUUGGGGAUGGACUCGCGGCUUAUCAGCUUGUUGGUGGGGUUGUGGCUUACCAAGGCUUUGACGGGUAGCCGGCCUGAGAGGGUGACCGGCCACAUUGGGACUGAGAUACGGCCCAGACUCCUACGGGAGGCAGCAGUGGGGAAUAUUGCACAAUGGGCGGAAGCCUGAUGCAGCAACGCCGCGUGCGGGAUGACGGCCUUCGGGUUGUAAACCGCUUUCGCCUGUGACGAAGCGUGAGUGACGGUAAUGGGUAAAGAAGCACCGGCUAACUACGUG